GAAUUAAGAAAUAUUUUCAAAAUAAAUAAUUGAUAGUCAUAUUUAUUAUGAAACGUAGUGCCAAAUUGCGGAAACGUAAAACGCCGAAAAAUAUAUAGUCAAUUAUAAAUUAAUUUAAUUUUUAUUGAUGUUUUUACCUGAGUUUACCUGUAAAACGAAUGCGCGCAAACGUAGUGCGCCCAAUUGCACAAGAUCUGGUGGUAGAAUCUCUAACGAUUUUGUUGACAAUAUGCAGAUAAAUAAAUCCUUUCAGCCAAAAGUUGUGUUCUUUCUAUGUAACGACAUCAGACAUGGUUUUAAACAAACAAAAAUUCAGAAGAAAGCAAGAAAAUGAGACAUCAUAAGUGAUUUUUUGACAAAAAAGAACUGAGAUCAAACAAACCACAUGUUGAUUUAAAAGAAAUAAUCAACAGGUCAUGAGGAGAAUGAAAAAUUGACCAAAAAUUAUGGAUGUCUUUGCUCAAGCAUACAACAUCUCACAAAAUAUUUAUGCUGUUAUAUUUAACAAUUAGUUGGAACUUGAUUAAACUUUCAAAGACUGAUUAUAAAAGUCCAAUUCCCAGAUUCCUUCCCAAAACUGAUAUGGAUGUUGACAUAAUUUUACUUUUCUUAAACUGAUUUCUAUAAAAUUGUAGUGUCCAUAUGAAUAUUUGUCUGAAUCUGGAUAAGAUUUCAUAAUUCUUCUGUUCUUAAAUGGUUGAAAAUUAAGUGCUAUAAGAUUUUUUUUCAGUAUUUUAGUUUAUCUCAACUUAGUCAAGCAGCAUGUGAAGGAUUGUACUUUAGUAGGACACUUUGGUAUGAUCUAUAACAGACAGGUCUAAUUUCUGGCACACAUUUGGUUAUCAACAAGAUGUACGUAUUAAACAGCUUUAAUGAUGAUUUAGCAUAAUAUAUUAACAGUAUUUAAAUUGACAGUUAUAUAUAUCCUAUAUUUGUCAUUUUAAAAAUGAAAUAUGAUUAAUUAAUGACACUAUUUAUAAAUGUGUAAUUCAGGUUUAUAAGUCUGUAGACACUCUGUAACAUUUAUAGUAAAAUACAUUACAGACAUAUUUUGAUGUUCUUGAUUUUUGAUCAGUGGUUGUAUCCUUCUUCAUUAUAAAGUGUGAAAUAU
This 1111-nucleotide long non-coding RNA is filed under the name Mytilus galloprovincialis (Mediterranean mussel). Lineage: Eukaryota; Metazoa; Mollusca; Bivalvia; Mytilida; Mytilidae. The record is from RNAcentral.